Molecule: ribosomal RNA, 1551 nt
Filed under: Staphylococcus aureus
Lineage: Bacteria; Bacillati; Bacillota; Bacilli; Caryophanales; Staphylococcaceae
Description: partial 16S ribosomal RNA
Rfam family: Bacterial small subunit ribosomal RNA
Source: RNAcentral
GGAGAGUUUGAUCCUGGCUCAGGAUGAACGCUGGCGGCGUGCCUAAUACAUGCAAGUCGAGCGAACGGACGAGAAGCUUGCUUCUCUGAUGUUAGCGGCGGACGGGUGAGUAACACGUGGAUAACCUACCUAUAAGACUGGGAUAACUUCGGGAAACCGGAGCUAAUACCGGAUAAUAUUUUGAACCGCAUGGUUCAAAAGUAAAAGACGGUCUUGCUGUCACUUAUAGAUGGAUCCGCGCUGCAUUAGCUAGUUGGUAAGGUAACGGCUUACCAAGGCAACGAUGCAUAGCCGACCUGAGAGGGUGAUCGGCCACACUGGAACUGAGACACGGUCCAGACUCCUACGGGAGGCAGCAGUAGGGAAUCUUCCGCAAUGGGCGAAAGCCUGACGGAGCAACGCCGCGUGAGUGAUGAAGGUCUUCGGAUCGUAAAACUCUGUUAUUAGGGAAGAACAUAUGUGUAAGUAACUGUGCACAUCUUGACGGUACCUAAUCAGAAAGCCACGGCUAACUACGUGCCAGCAGCCGCGGUAAUACGUAGGUGGCAAGCGUUAUCCGGAAUUAUUGGGCGUAAAGCGCGCGUAGGCGGUUUUUUAAGUCUGAUGUGAAAGCCCACGGCUCAACCGUGGAGGGUCAUUGGAAACUGGAAAACUUGAGUGCAGAAGAGGAAAGUGGAAUUCCAUGUGUAGCGGUGAAAUGCGCAGAGAUAUGGAGGAACACCAGUGGCGAAGGCGACUUUCUGGUCUGUAACUGACGCUGAUGUGCGAAAGCGUGGGGAUCAAACAGGAUUAGAUACCCUGGUAGUCCACGCCGUAAACGAUGAGUGCUAAGUGUUAGGGGGUUUCCGCCCCUUAGUGCUGCAGCUAACGCAUUAAGCACUCCGCCUGGGGAGUACGACCGCAAGGUUGAAACUCAAAGGAAUUGACGGGGACCCGCACAAGCGGUGGAGCAUGUGGUUUAAUUCGAAGCAACGCGAAGAACCUUACCAAAUCUUGACAUCCUUUGACAACUCUAGAGAUAGAGCUUUCCCCUUCGGGGGACAAAGUGACAGGUGGUGCAUGGUUGUCGUCAGCUCGUGUCGUGAGAUGUUGGGUUAAGUCCCGAAACGAGCGCAACCCUUAAGCUUAGUUGCCAUCAUUAAGUUGGGCACUCUAAGUUGACUGCCGGUGACAAACCGGAGGAAGGUGGGGAUGACGUCAAAUCAUCAUGCCCCUUAUGAUUUGGGCUACACACGUGCUACAAUGGACAAUACAAAGGGCAGCGAAACCGCGAGGUCAAGCAAAUCCCAUAAAGUUGUUCUCAGUUCGGAUUGUAGUCUGCAACUCGACUACAUGAAGCUGGAAUCGCUAGUAAUCGUAGAUCAGCAUGCUACGGUGAAUACGUUCCCGGGUCUUGUACACACCGCCCGUCACACCACGAGAGUUUGUAACACCCGAAGCCGGUGGAGUAACCUUUUAGGAGCUAGCCGUCGAAGGUGGGACAAAUGAUUGGGGUGAAGUCGUAACAAGGUAGCCGUAUCGGAAGGUGCGGCUGGAUCACCUCCUUUCUAA